CAGUAGCCGCGGGAAAACGGAGGGAGCUAGCGUUAUUCGGAAUUACUGGGCGUAAAGCGCACGUAGGCGGCUUUGUAAGUUAGAGGUGAAAGCCUGGAGCUCAACUCCAGAAUUGCCUUUAAGACUGCAUCGCUUGAAUCCAGGAGAGGUGAGUGGAAUUCCGAGUGUAGAGGUGAAAUUCGUAGAUAUUCGGAAGAACACCAGUGGCGAAGGCGGCUCACUGGACUGGUAUUGACGCUGAGGUGCGAAAGCGUGGGGAGCAAACAGGAUUAGAUACCCCUGUAGUCCCUGUCUCUUAUAC
Molecule: ribosomal RNA, 301 nt
Filed under: uncultured bacterium
Lineage: Bacteria
Description: partial 16S ribosomal RNA
Rfam family: Bacterial small subunit ribosomal RNA
Source: RNAcentral